RNAcentral lists this small RNA (829 nucleotides) under Arabidopsis thaliana (thale cress). RNAcentral describes it as "ATSL207310". Lineage: Eukaryota; Viridiplantae; Streptophyta; Magnoliopsida; Brassicales; Brassicaceae. The record is from RNAcentral.
UGUAAAUCUAACUAAAUGUCUAAUACCGUAACAAAUAUAUUAGAAGAUCACCAAUGACGGAAAUAAAUUAAUAAAACAUCGUGAAUUCACACAACUAAUAUCGGGUGUCUCACUCACCAUUCGAUUCAUUUUUUAAGGCGGCAUUGUGAAGUCUUCAUCAAAAUCUAAAACAUCAAAUGAGUUUAAGAACUGAAAACAUUUCUACAAAUGAUUGAAUAAAGUCUUAAAUCUCAUAUUUUAUUCCAAAAUCAAGAGAAUUUUUAAAACCCACACCCGUCCGGUUUAACCGAGUCACGGGUUAAUGGUGAGUUUUUGUGGGUUUUUACGGUUUUGAACUUGUCAGGUUUUAGCACUAAACCCAAACCAAAAAAAUGUUCGGGUCACGGUUCAACCGGUCGGACCGGGCAUAAAAAUACUGGUUUUUAGAGUUUUUUUGUUAUUUCUAGACUCUUUUAUAGUCUUUUUCAGGUCUUUACAUGUUUGGGAUGCAUUUUGAGAUUAUGGAACAUUCUGGAUCAAAACAGAGAACUUAUGAUGCAAAAGCAAUUUGGAGACGUAAAUUUGCGUAGGUGUCAAUCGACACCACCCCUAGUGUCAAGGGACACCAAAAUACUGGAUUUUAGAGAUUCUCAAUAGAGAAUUAGUAGAUCGAAAACUUUAUUAGGAUAAUGACUUCAUUUAUGAAAUUAUUAUUAUCUUCUAUUUUUUAGAUUUUUUGUAAAAUGGAAAAAACAAUAUAUGAAAAUUAAAGAAGAUUUGAAAAUAUAGAAAGUUUUCUAAAUAUUUUGUCACUAAAUAAUAUAAAAAGUAUCUACAUAUAAAUUUCUAU